This 497-nucleotide ribosomal RNA is filed under the name uncultured bacterium. Its description in RNAcentral is "partial 16S ribosomal RNA". It matches the Rfam family "Bacterial small subunit ribosomal RNA", at positions 28 to 507 of the family's 1533-position model. The record is from RNAcentral.
GACGAACGCUGGCGGCGUGCCUAAUACAUGCAAGUAGAACGCUGAAGAGAGGAGCUUGCUCUUCUUGGAUGAGUUGCGAACGGGUGAGUAACGCGUAGGUAAUCUGCCUUGUAGCGGGGGAUAACUAUUGGAAACGAUAGCUAAUACCGCAUAACAAUGGAUGACACAUGUCAUUUAUUUGAAAGGGGCAAUUGCUCCACUACAAGAUGGACCUGCGUUGUAUUAGCUAGUAGGUGAGGUAAUGGCUCACCUAGGCGACGAUACAUAGCCGACCUGAGAGGGUGAUCGGCCACACUGGGACUGAGACACGGCCCAGACUCCUACGGGAGGCAGCAGUAGGGAAUCUUCGGCAAUGGGGGCAACCCUGACCGAGCAACGCCGCGUGAGUGAAGAAGGUUUUCGGAUCGUAAAGCUCUGUUGUAAGUCAAGAACGGGUGUGAGAGUGGAAAGUUCACACUGUGACGGUAGCUUACCAGAAAGGGACGGCUAACUACGUG